This 460-nucleotide ribosomal RNA is filed under the name uncultured bacterium. Its description in RNAcentral is "partial 16S ribosomal RNA". It matches the Rfam family "Bacterial small subunit ribosomal RNA", at positions 338 to 795 of the family's 1533-position model. The record is from RNAcentral.
CCUACGGGUGGCAGCAGUGGGGAAUAUUGGUCAAUGGGCGCGAGCCUGAACCAGCCACGUAGCGUGAAGGAUGACUGCCCUCCGGGUGGUAACCUUCUUUUAUCAUGGCAUAAAGUGAGGCACGUGUGCCUUUUUGUAUGUACUUUAUGAAUAAGGAUCGACUAACUCCGUGCCAGCCGCCGCGGUAAUACGGAGGAUCCGAGCGUUAUCCGAAUUUAUUGGGUGUAAAGGGAGCGUAGAUGGGUUGUUAAGUCAGUGGUGAAAGGUUGCGGCUCAACCAGAAAAUUGCAAUUGAUACUGGCAGUCUUGAGUACAGUUGAGGUAGGCGGAAUUCGUGGUGUAGCGGUGAAAUGCUUAGAUAUCACGAAGAACUCCGAUUGCGAAGGCAGCUUACUAAACUGCCACUGACAUUGAUGCUCGAAAGUGUGGGUAUCAAACAGGAUUAGAUACCCGAGUAGUC